GCUGGGCAUGGUGGUGCAUGCCUGUGAUCCCAGCUACUCAGGAGGCUGAGGCAGGAGAAUCGUUUGAACCCAGGAGGCAGAAGUUGCAGUGAGCCAAGAUCACGCCAUUGCACUCCAGCCUGGGUGACAGAAUGAGACUCUGUCUCAA
Molecule: small RNA, 148 nt
Filed under: Pongo abelii (Sumatran orangutan)
Lineage: Eukaryota; Metazoa; Chordata; Mammalia; Primates; Hominidae
Description: Metazoan signal recognition particle RNA (ENSPPYG00000038854.1)
Source: Rfam by way of RNAcentral